Molecule: long non-coding RNA, 1061 nt
Organism: Octopus bimaculoides (California two-spot octopus)
Lineage: Eukaryota; Metazoa; Mollusca; Cephalopoda; Octopoda; Octopodidae
Source: RefSeq, a predicted model, not a curated record
GGGUCUAUCUAUCGGUCAAAUUAUCUUUUUUUUUAGGAUAUGCAGUAAAAUGUUUAGGCAUGAAGCAGUUGCAUUCUUUUUAGAGCCUUCCGGUUGAGUUGUAUGGAGAUAUGUCGUAAAUUAUACGCAGAUCGGAAAUGGUACGAAUGCUUCAACGUAGUGGGGUUCAUUAAAUGUAACCAAAGACCAGAAAUGAUGUUAAACUGAGCGAAUAAUUAAGUCUAUUUCUCUAUGAAAGACUAUUACUUCUUAUAUUAUCGAGAUAUUAAAAAAACUGAUUUAAAUAAAGGUAUUGUAUCAUGCAGAUUUUCUAUGAUCCUGUAUUUCUAUAACUAUUUUCCUCUUCAUAACGAAGAAAGAAAACUCAAAGAGUUCGGAGAAACUUGUUACCAACAGGUUCUUCGCCGAAUUUUUAAAUUCUUCUUCUUUUAAUUGAAAAAUGUACGUAGGCGCAGGAGUGGCUGUGUGGUAAGUAGCCUGCUUAUUUCCGGUUUGCUCACUGUGCAUGUGCGUCAGACUUGCUACUUGCCGUCAACAAAGGUAGACAUGAGUGUGGCUCUGUCUAAAAAAAGGAAAAAUUGAAGAAUUCGCCGAGUAAAUCCGCCGGCUCUGGAGCAGUUCCGUUUGCUUUCGGCGACUUUGAGUUGUUGUUCAUUUUUGUGAACAAAAUUGUGUUUCUCGUUCGUCGUUAUUGGUAGUAGCCAACGCGCAAGACCGGAAGUCAGGGUAAGCAGGCUUCUUUCUUUCAUAAAUUAGCCAUAUAGGCUUUACAUAGAAUAGCGGUAGCUAAGGCUGGACAAAGACAAAUGUAGAAUGAAAGGAUGAUACAUAUGAAAAAUGAGAGGGGCGCCGAGGCUAGUGCCUCUCUCAUUAUUUGUUUCAUCCUUAUCACCCUCAUCUCAUUAAUGUCCACGUCCAGCCCGCAGCUACUUUAUGUUUGUCUGUCCCCUCUAUGUAAUGCCGUUAAUGGCGAAAUUUAUUGAAAUGAAGUAGCCUGCUUAGCUUGACUUCCGGUCUUGCGCAUUGGUUACUUCCGGUAGACACGAGGAACAGAGUGGAUG